UACGUAGGGGGCGAGCGUUGUCCGGAUUUAUUGGGCGUAAAGGGCGCGUAGGCGGCUUGAUAAGCGUGCGGUGAAAGCCCGGGGCUCAACCCCGGGUCGGCCGUGCGAACUGUCGAGCUGGAGCACUGUAGAGGCAGGUGGAAUUCCGGGUGUAGCGGUGGAAUGCGUAGAGAUCCGGAAGAACACCGGUGGCGAAGGCGGUCUGCUGGGCAGUUUCUGACACUGAGGCGCGACAGCGUGGGGAGCAAACAGG
Molecule: ribosomal RNA, 253 nt
Filed under: uncultured bacterium
Lineage: Bacteria
Description: partial 16S ribosomal RNA
Rfam family: Bacterial small subunit ribosomal RNA
Source: RNAcentral